UUAUACAGCCAUAUCACUCUGCAACUCACAACUGGCAACCCACUGAAGCUAAGCAGGUGUGAGCCUGUUCAGUACCUGGAUGGGAGACCUCCUGGGAAAAACUAAGGUUGCUGCUGGAA
Molecule: ribosomal RNA, 119 nt
Organism: Lepisosteus oculatus (spotted gar)
Lineage: Eukaryota; Metazoa; Chordata; Actinopteri; Semionotiformes; Lepisosteidae
Source: Ensembl